GAUGAACGCUAGCGGCAGGCCUAACACAUGCAAGUCGAACGGUAACAUGAGAGCUUGCUCUUGAUGACGAGUGGCGCACGGGUGCGUAACGCGUAUGCAACCUACCCUAUACAGGGGGAUAGCCCGGAGAAAUUCGGAUUAAUACCCCAUGGUAUUAUUGAUAGGCAUCUAUUAAUAAUUAAAGGUUACGGCAAAAGAUGAGUAUGCGUCCCAUUAGCUAGUUGGUGAAGUAACGGUUCACCAAGGCAACGAUGGGUAGGGGUCCUGAGAGGGAGAUCCCCCACACUGGUACUGAGACACGGACCAG
This 307-nucleotide ribosomal RNA is filed under the name uncultured Sediminicola sp. RNAcentral describes it as "bacterial SSU rRNA". It matches the Rfam family "Bacterial small subunit ribosomal RNA", at positions 28 to 334 of the family's 1533-position model. The record is from RNAcentral. Lineage: Bacteria; Pseudomonadati; Bacteroidota; Flavobacteriia; Flavobacteriales; Flavobacteriaceae.